GUGAAGCUAUUUUAAACUGUGUGCGCUUGUACCAAGAGGUUCCAAGUUCUUUAUCUUAACGUCCAGUAACCUUGUACUCCGCGCUUGCAUAACACGACUUGAUUGCGUUUAAAUCGCCGAAAACUCUCUGAAAGAGCACAGAUGCCAGAUUUUUAAAACUGUGGAUAUAAAACCUUCUUCCUGUCUUUACACUGCUAUCGUGUCUAUCAGACAACGGCCGGUCUUGGGACCCCGGAGUUGCUUGACGAGAAUGUGUCAGGCUCAAACUCUCCAAAGAAGGAAUGCAGCUUUUACAACCCCGUGACAUCUUGUUCUUAUAAAUCUGCAUAAAGAAGGAUGUUGGAAAGAAACAACAGAUGUUGGUGAACAUCUGGGACAACAGGUAACUUCGUUGUCUGCAGAAGCUGGGAUUGGCUCACCGGCAGUUGAACUGACAGCGGGAGAGCACCGAAGGCAAGUGUUUUGACAGAUGUCUUGCUGUAGUGGCGCAGGGUUGUUUUUUUUUCUGUGCCCUUUCAGAGUCCACAGUUUCAGACCAUCAGAUCAUGUCCUCCUCCUAAAAAGGAAAAAAAAAGUCUGUAACCUUCAGUGCACGAAUGCAAUAUUUAGACAAGAUUCUUUCACAGCUGCUGCAGGCCUGGAGAAAGAAGACAAACCCUGUUUUAGACUCUCUGCACAUAUCCUGCAUCGAAAGUAACAAAGAUCACUAGGUCAUAUCCUGGAACUGGCUGUCUGGCAUGUCCCUGAGUGAUCUCUCCGCCCAUGGUGGGCAAGCAGACAAC
Long non-coding RNA from Lepisosteus oculatus (spotted gar), 782 nucleotides. RefSeq lists it as uncharacterized. The record is from RefSeq and is a predicted model, not a curated record. NCBI's taxonomy places the organism in Eukaryota, Metazoa, Chordata, Actinopteri, Semionotiformes, Lepisosteidae.